Oncorhynchus tshawytscha (Chinook salmon) is the source of this 3193-nucleotide long non-coding RNA. The record is from Ensembl. Lineage: Eukaryota; Metazoa; Chordata; Actinopteri; Salmoniformes; Salmonidae.
CCCAGAAUCCCAGUGCUCUCUGACAGGGUCUGAGGAUUCCUUAGGCAGUCUGGAUGAGAGAGAGAAAAGGCUGCUGACCAGUGAGAUGAACUACUGGACUAAGGAGAGGAGGAGGAAUGGCAGUGCAGGGUGCCGCCAUAAAUCCACUCGCAGAACCUCAUCACCAUGCUGUUCGCCUAAGAGGUCCCAGACCUCAUUGCAGAGCUUGCCUGCAACUAGAGAGGCUCCCCUCAUGGAGGAGCCUCUAAAGGCUCUUUUUGGGGUAACGGAAGAGAGCCUCCUGAUAUCCCUGGUUGAGGGUCACUCCAACCCCACCUCCUCCAGCUCCUCCGAUUUGAGCUGUGCUAUCGUGGGAGAGGUAGUACACCAGCUUAACUCUGGCCUCUCAGUGGCCAUUCAGGCCAGCUCGGGGAGUUGCCCCCCUAUGGACAGUCAGGACAUAGCAGCAGGCAAGGAGGUCAUUCGGGUAGUCUCGGUGCAGAUCCUGGCCGAGCUACAGAGCCAAACGUCUGAGCCAGAGUGGGUAGGGUUUAUCGAGCCCCUCAUGGACCCUGUGACCGAUGAUGUGCUGGAUGCCAUUGUCGGCACAAUGGACAAAAUGGCACAGGACUUCAACAUCCUAUUGGAUCUGGCCAAGAAGAUGACAAUCUUGGGGUCUAAAUUUCUGACCAAUCUUCAAUGUGACCUUGAUGUUGAGUGUCCAUCUGGGAAAGAAGGGACCACUCACUUUCUCAAAGAGACUGGAUCCUCUACCAGUGUGGUGGCCAGAAAGAUUCAGACCCUCUCUAGCCCCGACUUUCAGUCUAAAGCCCUGAAGGCGGUGAGCACCAUCCUUACAAGGAAAGUCAGCAGCUCUUCUGGCAUGGCUCCUUCCUCUAGGCCUUCUAGUGCUGCUCCUAGCCUUACUGAAGCUCCCCUAAAUACCAGCUGCACAGCCCUGACACCUGUAACCUCCACUGCCACAGUGAUUGUUAAGGCAUUUGUGGGAGGCAUGGAGACGAUAGCAUCAUUUGAAGGCACAUGUGAAGCAGUUGAUUGGCCAGCUCCUGUAAAUGACCACAAAACAGGAUCUUCACAGAUGAUAACCUUCUCUCUAGCCCGCACACUCUACGGCCGUAUACGAGCAAAGCUGAGGGACCUUUUAACUCUAUCCGCUCGAGAAGAAGGUGUGGCUAAGGAUGCUUCUCUUCAGGGGUCUUCAUACACCCUGGAAAAGGCAACUGUUUCAACUGUUGAGGUCCAGUUACCCAGCACCGAACUUAGUAGAGUUCCCAGUGAGAGCCAACCAAUACCAGCUCUCUGUCUCUCCAAUCUGGAUACCAGUACUCAAGAAGUUCUUAGCAGUGUUUUUUCCAUCUACAAGUCAGAGUUAUCAAAAGUGGAGAGUAAAUCCUUGGCCGUUGUCAGUUCAUCUGAUGAGUCCCUAGAGGCUUGUUGGUUUGUUGAUAGUGUCCUAUCAAAGCUCGAUGACUAUACUAUUUCCCAGUCACCCUCACCCAAUGAAGACUUGAGCGUGAGUACUCAAUAUUCUCAACUGAGCUCAGAAGAGAGUGUCAGAAUCACAGAGUCCUCUACUAGUCUGAUUCAGAGCAUUAAGAAGCUCUCUAGCAAUGACUUCCAGACUCAGGCAGAAGAGGCAGUGAGUAAAGUGCUGAUGAGAUCCAGUCAUUCCUUUAUCACACAGAUCAGCCAUACUGGUCUUCAGAAAAGUCUGCAGGCUGGCUUAUCAUCUAGCUCACCAUCAGAGAUCCAUGUCCUUUCAGAAUCCAUGUCCUCCAUGUCCUCUGGAUUAGUGGAAACCUUUGUCAAAGGAAUGGCGACUAUUUUCCAGAAAAAUGAGUCCACUGACACUGUGCUACUGGAAAGAAGUGGGAGACUUUCGCAGUGCUCCCACGGGGGCUCCCAACUGGAUGAUACUGAAUUGAGUGUUAAAAUAUCAGAGGAGAAGCUUUGGUCAACAGCUAAGACCAUCUGUGUCAGUAUGAAGAACACACUUAAGAAUUUCUUCACAGGGCUGAAACCACCCGGAUCCGAAAGGACAGAAAAUGAUUCUUCCAAAGAGACCCUUGGGGAAAUCCUGGUUGCUAUCCAGAGUGAAAGUUCAAACUUAGGGGGACGAAUGAAGGAUUCCAGGGAGCUCCUUCAGAUCAAAGAUAUGGUAGGAACUAUGCUGAAGGAGGUUGAGAAAAGUGAGAAUGACAGUGAACAAGUCUGCCAAGACAUCCCUAGAACCUGUUCAUCUUUGUCCACUUCUUUAAAUGGUCGUAGUUCCUUGUCCAGCUCUUCAAAGAGUCCUAGGUCAGAGUGUGAGUUAGAGAUCAACCUCCCUGGCACUCCCAUCCCUGACGAAGUGCCUUUUGAUCUGACCUGCCCCAUCGUCAGGAGCUCCUGCAUCGACACCAGGGUCUCUAAAAUACCAGAGAUUUCUUCAAGUGACCUAAAGACAAAGAUGAUGGCACACACAGAUGAACCCCUGUAUCGUAACAGUCCAAUGACUGACAGCAGUCGACCACCGAGUGCUAAAGCCUCUUUUCGAUCCUCCACUCCGUCUUUCACCAGCAAGGGAACCUCUUUGGUACCAAAGGGAGAUGGGAUUGACAUUGAAGAGAAGGAGGAGUGUAUCCCCAGCAGCUCUGGCCAUCUGAGGGAGCUCUUAAUCACCCCGGACAUCAGCAGUGCCACUGCAUUCCCACUGCAGUACUUGAUGGACUCCAGCAAAGAUGAUGGCAUCUGUUUUGUCACCAUACUGGUGAUAAGGUUGCUAUCGGAGAUCAGACCCUCAACCCUAGAUGGACCCUCCCAACAGGUAGCAGAUCUGACAGAAACAUCUCAGCAACUCAUCAGACAAGUCCUGUCUGAGUUCUGUGCUGCAUCUAGAUUCUCCAGGACACAGGCAUAUUCCCAGAACCUGAACAUCCAAAGGGUGUUCAGAGGUGUACAUAAAAACCUCAUGGAGGAGUUUGGCUCUUAUAACACCCUGCAAGCAGCUAUUUCCUCCCAGGACCCUGCAUUUGACAGAGUCCUGGUAAAGUCCUUGACCCAGCAGCUGGUACAGGGAUGCAAGGAGGCAUCAAGACCAGCUUUUGCUGCAACAAACCCAUCAGACCAGGCUGAGACAGAGAGGGGGGCUGAGCAGAAAGCAAGAAGGAGCUUCCUUUGCUUUUCAAUGACCAAACUCAGGAUCAACUUCAAG